This 251-nucleotide ribosomal RNA is filed under the name uncultured bacterium. Its description in RNAcentral is "partial 16S ribosomal RNA". It matches the Rfam family "Bacterial small subunit ribosomal RNA", at positions 524 to 776 of the family's 1533-position model. The record is from RNAcentral.
GACGGGGGGGGCAAGUGUUCUUCGGAAUGACUGGGCGUAAAGGGCACGUAGGCGGUGAAUCGGGUUGAAAGUGAAAGUCGCCAAAAAGUGGCGGAAUGCUCUCGAAACCAAUUCACUUGAGUGAGACAGAGGAGAGUGGAAUUUCGUGUGUAGGGGUGAAAUCCGUAAAUAUACGAAGGAACACCAGCGGCGAAGGCGGCUUUCUGGUCUGAUACUGACGCUGAGGCGCGAAAGCGUGGGGAGCGAUCCGG